Molecule: long non-coding RNA, 305 nt
Organism: Sarcophilus harrisii (Tasmanian devil)
Lineage: Eukaryota; Metazoa; Chordata; Mammalia; Dasyuromorphia; Dasyuridae
Exons: 4
Source: RefSeq, a predicted model, not a curated record
ACCACAGACUCCCAUCCCAGGAGCUGGUGACCUUCAAGGAUGUGGCUGUGGACUUCAGCCCAGAGGAGUGGGGUCUGUUGGACCCAGAUGAAAAAGAGCUGUACAAAGAGGUCAUGCUGGAAAAUGCUGAGAACUUGCUCUCCCUGGGACUUCCAGUUCCCAGAGAUUUCAUCUCCCAUGUGGAGAGAGGAGGCCUGAGGAACUCCUGUCCUGAUGCAGAGACACAAUUUGACAUGAAGGAGAUGAGUGCAAAUUUGAAAAUUAUCUCAUGGAAAGACCCUUUUCAGUAUAGUGAAUACAUGGCU